UACGUAGGGUGCGAGCGUUGUCCGGAAUUACUGGGCGUAAAGAGCUCGUAGGUGGUUUGUCGCGUUGUCCGUGAAAACUCACAACUCAAUUGUGGGCGUGCGGGCGAUACGGGCAGACUGGAGUACUGCAGGGGAGACUGGAAUUCCUGGUGUAGCGGUGAAAUGCGCAGAUAUCAGGAGGAACACCGGUGGCGAAGGCGGGUCUCUGGGCCGAUACUGACGCUGAGGCGCGAAAGCGUGGGGAGCAAACAGG
Molecule: ribosomal RNA, 253 nt
Filed under: uncultured bacterium
Lineage: Bacteria
Description: partial 16S ribosomal RNA
Rfam family: Bacterial small subunit ribosomal RNA
Source: RNAcentral